GUAAACGAUGAGUGCUAAGUGUUGGAGGGUUUCCGCCCUUCAGUGCUGCAGCUAACGCAUUAAGCACUCCGCCUGGGGAGUACGACCGCAAGGUUGAAACUCAAAGGAAUUGACGGGGGCCCGCACAAGCGGUGGAGCAUGUGGUUUAAUUCGAAGCAACGCGAAGAACCUUACCAGGUCUUGACAUCCUUUGACCACUCUAGAGAUAGAGCUUCCCCUUCGGGGGCAAAGUGACAGGUGGUGCAUGGUUGUCGUCAGCUCGUGUCGUGAGAUGUUGGGUUAAGUCCCGCAACGAGCGCAACCCUUAUUGUUAGUUGCCAUCAUUCAGUUGGGCACUCUAGCAAGACUGCCGGUGACAAACCGGAGGAAGGUGGGGAUGACGUCAAAUCAUCAUGCCCCUUAUGACCUGGGCUACACACGUGCUACAAUGGGAAGUACAACGAGUUGCGAAGUCGCGAGGCUAAGCUAAUCUCUUAAAGCUUCUCUCAGUUCGGAUUGCAGGCUGCAACUCGCCUGCAUGAAGCCGGAAUCGCUGGUAAUCGCGGAUCAGCACGCCGCGGUGAAUACGUUCCCGGGCCUUGUACACACCGCCCGUCACACCACGAGAGUUUGUAACACCCGAAGUCGGUGAGGUAACCUUUUUGGAGCCAGCCGCCUAAGGUGGGAUAGAUGAUUGGGGUGAAGUCGUA
This 689-nucleotide ribosomal RNA is filed under the name uncultured bacterium. RNAcentral describes it as "bacterial SSU rRNA". It matches the Rfam family "Bacterial small subunit ribosomal RNA", at positions 802 to 1490 of the family's 1533-position model. The record is from RNAcentral.